This 253-nucleotide ribosomal RNA is filed under the name uncultured bacterium. RNAcentral describes it as "partial 16S ribosomal RNA". It matches the Rfam family "Bacterial small subunit ribosomal RNA", at positions 524 to 776 of the family's 1533-position model. The record is from RNAcentral.
UACGGAGGGUGCAAGCGUUGUCCGGAAUCAUUGGGCGUAAAGCGCGUGUAGGCGGCCCGGUAAGUCCGCUGUGAAAGUCGGGGGCUCAACCCUCGAAAGCCGGUGGAUACUGUCGGGCUCGAGUACGGGAGAGGCGAGUGGAAUUCCUGGUGUAGCGGUGAAAUGCGCAGAUAUCAGGAGGAACACCGAUUGCGAAGGCAGCUCGCUGGAACGUUACUGACGCUGAGACGCGAAAGCGUGGGGAGCAAACAGG